Molecule: ribosomal RNA, 510 nt
Filed under: uncultured Pseudomonas sp.
Lineage: Bacteria; Pseudomonadati; Pseudomonadota; Gammaproteobacteria; Pseudomonadales; Pseudomonadaceae
Description: bacterial SSU rRNA
Rfam family: Bacterial small subunit ribosomal RNA
Source: RNAcentral
CUAUGCGCCUUGCCACGCCCGCUCAGAAACUCAAAGGAAUUGACGGGGGCCCGCACAAGCGGAGGAACAUGUGGUUUAAUUCGAUGAUACGCGAGGAACCUUACCUGGGCUUAAAGUGGGGAGUGACAGCUGUCGAAAGAUGGUUUUCUUCGGACACUCUUCAAGGUGCUGCAUGGUUGUCGUCAGCUCGUGCCGUGAGGUGUCGGGUUAAGUCCCGUAACGAGCGCAACCCUUGUCCUUAGUUACCAGCACGUUAUGGUGGGCACUCUAAGGAGACUGCCGGUGACAAACCGGAGGAAGGUGGGGAUGACGUCAAGUCAUCAUGGCCCUUACGGCCUGGGCUACACACGUGCUACAAUGGUCGGUACAAAGGGUUGCCAAGCCGCGAGGUGGAGCUAAUCCCAUAAAACCGAUCGUAGUCCGGAUCGCAGUCUGCAACUCGACUGCGUGAAGUCGGAAUCGCUAGUAAUCGUGAAUCAGAAUGUCACGGUGAAUACGUUCCCGGGCCUU